AGAAGCCCGCACACAACGCUCUGGAGCCACAAAGGCAGAAACCCCUCCUACUUUUCUUCUCCUUCUCUCUCUCUUUCGCUGAAUCGGAGCGCCCAUGGAAGUCAUACUUGCAGACUGUGUUCAUCACAGUCUUCGCCAUUUCAUGUACCGGAAUGCCAUUUUCAUGUGCGAGAGACUCUGCUCCGAGUUCCCUUCUGAGACAAAUAUGCAGUUACUAGCUGGCUGUUUUUUGCACAACAAUCAGGCUUAUGCUGCAUACCAUAUAUUAAAAGGAACACAAAUGGCUCAAUCCCGCUACUUGUUUGCAAUCUCGUGCUUUCAGAUGGAUCUUCUUCAUGAGGCAGAGGCUGCAUUAUGUCCACCUAACGAGCCUGGUGCUGAGAUUCCAAAUGGUGCAGCAGGUCAUUACCUUCUUGGGCUGAUUUACAGGUACACUGACAGAAGGAGAAGUGCUAUUCAACAUUUUCAGCAGGCAUUAUCUAUAGAUCCUUUGAUGUGGUGUGCUUAUGAGGAACUUUGUAUAUUAGGUGCUGCUGAAGAUGCAUCUUCAGUUUUUGGUGAAGCGGCUGUUCUCUCCAUUCAGAAGCAGUAUCUACAUCAUAGAUCUGAAAACUUGCAGACAUUAAAUGAUGAUCUCAACUCAGCUUCUGCUAGGAAUAAUAAUUCAGACGAAGUCCGGAUAAGGCAGUUAAAACACACUCAAAGCAAUAAUUUAAGAGAUAUUCCUACAAAUUAUCAAGGAACAGUUAACUUGGGAGGAGCUGCAAGUCAAAUUGUUAAUGGUGGUUCAAAUAUAUCAUUUUAUAACACCCCUUCACCUGUGGCUGCACAGAAUUUGCAGUUAUCUUCUAUUGCUCCUCCACCUUUAUGCCGAAAUACACAGCAGAAUGGAUCUAGUAUUAACUCACUUGGUGCAGAUAACUGUUCAAGGUCAACUGUAAACUCUAUUAUACAAGCCCCUCGAAGAAAAUUUGUAGAUGAAGGGAAAUUACGUAAGAUUUCAGGAAGGUUAUUUUCUGAUUCUGGCCCUCGAAGAAGUAGCAGACUUGCUGGGGAAGCAGUAGCCAAUACUAACGUAAGUGCUGCUAAUAAUGGAACUACCAACUCCACCAAAUAUCUUGGUGGGUCGAAGUUGAAUUCUAUUACACUUCGUUCUAUGGCAGUUCGCAAAGGACAGUCCUUUGCAAAUGAGAAUAUUGACGAAGGUAUUCAAAAUGAGGCUUUUGAUGAUUCUCGAUCCAAUGCCUCAUUAUCCGUCUCCAGUUCAUCACCUUCUAGUGGUAAUAGGACUCUUGAGCAAGGAGCAACCAAAUCAGUUGGAGGAAGUCUCACAAAUGAUGCUAAAAUAAUUAAUGGUGCUUCAGAAAUAUUAGGCCUCCUGAGAAUAUUAGGGGAAGGACAUAGACUUUCAUGCCUGUUCAGAUGCCAGGAUGCUUUGGAUGUCUACCUAAAACUUCCUUACAAGCAUUACAGUACAGGCUGGGUGCUGUCGCAGGUUGGAAAAGUGUAUUUUGAAUUGGUGGAUUAUUUAGAAGCUGAUAGAGCUUUCAGUCUUGCUCGCCAUGCUUCACCUCACAGUUUGGAAGGAAUGGAUGUGUAUUCUACAGUUCUUUAUCAUUUAAAGGAAGACAUGAAGCUAAGCUACCUGGCUCAGGAAUUGAUAUCAACUGACCGCUUAGCUCCUCAAUCUUGGUGUGCCAUGGGAAAUUGCUACAGCUUGCAGAAGGACCAUGAAACUGCGUUAAAAAAUUUCCAGCGUGCUGUCCAACUAAAUCCAAGAUUUGCCUACGCUCACACCCUCUGUGGACAUGAAUAUGUGGCCUUGGAAGAUUUUGAGAAUGGAAUUCAGAGCUACCAGAGUGCACUACGAGUAGAUUCUAGACAUUAUAACUCCUGGUACGGACUUGGGAUGAUAUAUCUUCGACAAGAGAAGCUCGAGUUCUCUGAGCAUCACUUCCGAAUGGCUUUCCAAAUAAAUCCUCGUUCUUCUGUUGUAAUGUCAUAUCUUGGUACAUCUUUGCAUGCGUUGAAGAGGAGUGAGGAUGCUAUGAUGAUGAUGGAGAAGGCCAUCCUUGCGGAUAAGAAAAACCCACUUCCCAUGUAUCAGAAAGCUAACAUACUUAUAAGCCUGGAACGUUUCGAUGAAGCUUUACAAGUUCUAGAGGAGCUUAAAGAGUAUGCCCCUCGAGAAAGCAGUGUGUAUGCUUUGAUGGGUAAAAUCUACAAAAGACGGUACAUGCACGAGAAGGCAAUGCUUAAUUUUGGCCUUGCCUUGGAUUUGAAACCAUCUGCCGCUGAUGUAGCCACCAUUAAGGCUGCCAUCGAGAAGCUGCAUGUACCUGAUGAAAUAGAAGACAACUUAUGAGAAUUCUCAUUUUUCUAAAGGGAAAAGAAAGUGAUGGAGAAUACGGUGUAACUUAUAAUGAAAACGGGAUGGAAUUUGUUUGGCCUCAGGAAGCGAGUUAGCUAUACAAGUACCGGCGGGAUGUUGGGGCACCUGCGAUCAAGUUGGCCAAUCAAUCUAGGCACUGGUAAAACCUCAGUUUGUGGGUGAGCUCACACACUAACAGAGUAAACUAUGUGAGCAAAAGGUGCAAAAAGAUGCCCCAUUACUUGUACAAAGGGCAUGUAAUCGUGCCACAACAAAUCACAAGGAAUGAUCUACCUAUAUGCCAUGACAUCGGACCACCAAAAGUAGGGAGCUAUUUCAAGGUAUAAGAUUUUUCUUAGUGAUAAUUGAUGCCUUAUUUACUCAGCUAUAUUCGUAUUAACAUCUAUAAAUCAUUUCAAAUUAUUCUAGUGUUUUAUGAAAAUUGAAUUCAUAUAUAUAAAAAAGUUAGUACUUA
RNA transcript from Cucurbita moschata (crookneck pumpkin), 2846 nucleotides. It is a transcript of the gene named cell division cycle protein 27 homolog B-like, with no coding region annotated. The transcript has 17 exons. Lineage: Eukaryota; Viridiplantae; Streptophyta; Magnoliopsida; Cucurbitales; Cucurbitaceae. The record is from RefSeq and is a predicted model, not a curated record.